Schistosoma curassoni is the source of this 45-nucleotide non-coding RNA. NCBI's taxonomy places the organism in Eukaryota, Metazoa, Platyhelminthes, Trematoda, Strigeidida, Schistosomatidae. The record is from Rfam.
AUCCAGCUGACCAGUCUCAAAUAGAACGGAACGCAUGUCCUAGAU